UACGUAGGGUGCGAGCGUUGUCCGGAAUUACUGGGCGUAAAGAGCUCGUAGGCGGUUUGUUGCGUCGGCUGUGAAAUCCCGAGGCUCAACCUCGGGUCUGCAGUCGAUACGAGCAAACUAGAGUGUUGCAGGGGAGACUGGAAUUCCUGGUGUAGCGGUGAAAUGCGCAGAUAUCAGGAGGAACACCGGUGGCGAAGGCGGGUCUCUGGGCAUUAACUGACGCUGAGGAGCGAGAGCAUGGGGAGCGAACAGG
This 253-nucleotide ribosomal RNA is filed under the name uncultured bacterium. RNAcentral's name for it is "partial 16S ribosomal RNA". It matches the Rfam family "Bacterial small subunit ribosomal RNA", at positions 524 to 776 of the family's 1533-position model. The record is from RNAcentral.